AUGAACGCUGGCGGCGUGCCUAAUCCAUGCAAGUCGAGCGAACGGACGAGAAGCUUGCUUCUCUGAUGUUAGCGGCGGACGGGUGAGUAACACGUGGAUAACCUACCUAUAAGACUGGGAUAACUUCGGGAAACCGGAGCUAAUACCGGAUAAUAUUUUGAACCGCAUGGUUCAAAAGUGAAAGACGGUCUUGCUGUCACUUAUAGAUGGAUCCGCGCUGCAUUAGCUAGUUGGUAAGGUAACGGCUUACCAAGGCAACGAUGCAUAGCCGACCUGAGAGGGUGAUCGGCCACACUGGAACUGAGACACGGUCCAGACUCCUACGGGAGGCAGCAGUAGGGAAUCUUCCGCAAUGGGCGAAAGCCUGACGGAGCAACGCCGCGUGAGUGAUGAAGGCCUUCGGAUCGUAAAACUCUGUUAUUAGGGAAGAACAUAUGUGUAAGUAACUGUGCACAUCUUGACGGUACCUAAUCAGAAAGCCACGGCUAACUACGUG
Molecule: ribosomal RNA, 496 nt
Filed under: uncultured bacterium
Lineage: Bacteria
Description: partial 16S ribosomal RNA
Rfam family: Bacterial small subunit ribosomal RNA
Source: RNAcentral